RNAcentral lists this ribosomal RNA (834 nucleotides) under Triticum aestivum (bread wheat). Its description in RNAcentral is "partial small subunit ribosomal RNA". Lineage: Eukaryota; Viridiplantae; Streptophyta; Magnoliopsida; Poales; Poaceae. The record is from RNAcentral.
AUGGAUGUCAAGUUGGCAUUCCUCAACGGUGACUUGAAGGAGGAAGUCUAUGUGCAUCAGCCACCGGGUUUUGCGAUUCUCGGCCAGGAGGGCAAGGUACUCCGCCUGCGCAAGGCCCUCUAUGGCCUACGACAGGCACCUAGGGCGUGGAACGCCAAGCUGGACUCCACGCUAAAGAAGAUGGGCUUCGAGCAAAGCCCGCAUGAGGCUGCCGUCUACCGACGGGGCAGUGGAGGAAAUGCCUUGCUGGUGGGCGUCUAUGUUGACGACUUGGUGAUCACCGGCACCAAAGAUGCAGAAGUGGCGACGUUCAAGGAAGACAUGAAGGCUACCUUCCACAUGGGUGAUCUGGGGCUCCUCUCCUUCUAUCUAGGGAUUGAGGUGCACCAGGACCACUCCGGGAUCGCGCUUCGACAGUCCGCCUAUGCCAAGCGCAUCGUUGAGCUAGCUUGGCUCACCGACUGCCAUCCAGCUCUCACUCCAAUGGAGGAGAGGCUGAAACUGAGCCACGACAGCACGACGAAGGAAGUGGAUGCUACGCAGUACCGACGCCUUGUGGGGAGCCUUCGCUACCUCACCCACCCACGGCCGGACUUGGCAUUCUCCGUCGGCUAUGUCAGUCGGUUCAUGGAGCGACCGAUCUGGCAAUCAGUCAAGCAGCAGGUGGUGGCCCUGUCCAGCUGUGAGGCUGAGUACAUAGCGGCCUCCACCACCUGCACUCAGGCGCUCUGGCUCGCUCGACUGCUUGGUGAUCUUCUCGCUCAAGACACCAGAACGGUGCAGCUCCUGGUGGAGAGCAAGUCCGCCCUGGCCCUGGCAAAGAACCCCGUGUUC